GCAGCAUUCCUGUCAGUCAGCGUUACAAUCCCAGAGGAGAGAGAUGUGCAUGAGAUCAACCUGGCUUGUGAAGUUGCUUGCUGUACUGAUAUUUGAUGUUUCACACAGGGAAUAAACUCCGGCUGGCAAAGUGAGCAGUUGUCCACGACUCCUUCAACCAUUCAAACACAACGCAGAGUUCGGUAGCAGGGUCAGGCCAGACUGGUUACACAUACAGUGGGGCAAAAAGUAUUUAGUCAGCCACCAAUUGUGCAAGUUCUCCCAUUUAAAAAGAUGAGAGAGGCCUGUAAUUUUCGUCAUAGGUACACUUCCACUAUGAGAGACAAAAUGGGGGAAACAAUCCAGAAAAUCACAUUGUAGGAUUUUUAAUGAAUUAAUUGGUAAAUUCCUCGGUAAAAUAAGUAUUUGGUCACCUACAAACAAGCAAGAUUUCUGUCUCUCACAGACCUGUAACUUCUUCUUUAAGAGGCUCCACUGUCCUCCACUCGUUACCUGUAUUAAUGGCACCUUUUUGAACUCGUUAUCAGUAUAAAAGACACCUGUCCACAACCUCAAACACUCAUACUCCAAACUCCACUAUGGCCAAGACCAAAGAGCUGUCAAAGGAGACCAGAGACAAAAUUGUAGACCUGCACCAGGCUGGGAAAAGUGAAUCUGCAAUAGGUAAGCAGCUUGGUGUGAAGAAACCAACUGUGGGAGCAAUUAUUAGAAAAUGGAAGACAUACAAGACCACUGCUAAUCUCCCUCGAUCUGGGGCUCCACGCAAGAUCUCACCCCGUGGGGUCAAAAUGAUCACAAGAACGGUGAGCAAAAAUCCCAGAACCACACGGGGGGACCUAGUGAAUGACCUGCAGAGAGCUGGGACCCAAGUAACAGAGGCUACCAUCAGUAACACACUACGCCGCCAGGGACUUAAAUCCUGCAGUUCCAGACGUGUCCCCCUGCUUAAGCCAGUACAUGUCCAGGCCCGUCUGAAGUUUGCUAGAGGGCAUUUGGAUGAUCCAGAAGAGGAUUGGGAGAAUGUCAUAUGGUCAGAUGAAACCAAAAUAGAACUUUUUGGUAAAAACUCAACUCGUCGUGUUUGGAGGAGAAAGAAUGCAGAGUUGCAUCCAAAGAACACCAUACCUACUGUGAAGCAUGGGGGUGGAAACAUCAUGCUUUGGGGCUGCUUUUCUGCAAAGGGACCAGGACGACUGAUCCGUGUAAAGGAAAGAAUGAAUGGGGCCAUGUAUCGUGAGAUUUUGAGUGAAAACCUCCUUCCAUCAGCAAGGGCACUAAAGAUGAAGGGUGGCUGGGUCUUUCAGCAUGACAAUGAUCCCAAACACACUGCCAGGGCAACGAAGGAGUGGCUUCGUAAGAAGCAUUUCAAGGUCCUGGAGUGGCCUAGCCAGUCUCCAGAUCUCAAGCCCAUAGAAAAUCUUUGGAGGGAGUUGAAAGUCCGUGUUGCCCAGCGACAGCCCCAAAACAUCACUGCUUUAGAGGAGAUCUGCAUGGAGGAAUGGGCCCAAAUACCAGCAACAGUGUGUGGAAACCUUGUGAAGACUUACAGAAAACGUUUGACCUCUGUCAUUGCCAACAAAGGGUAUAUAACAAAGUAUUGAGAUUAACUUUUGUUAUUGACCAAAUACUUAUUUUCCACAAUAAUUUGAAAAGAAAUUCUUUAAAAAUCAGACAGGCCUCUCUCAUCUUUUUAAAUGGGAGAACUUGUACAAUUGGUGGCUGACUAAAUACUUUUUUACCCCACUGUACAUACACACACACACACACACACACGCACACAAUACUUUCUUGACAACGAGAGUGCAGUAACUAUAUAUGCUCCUCCAGAUUGUACAUGUUCUCUUGUGCAAAUAAUCAUUUCUCAAUAAAAAAAUUUGGCUAGCUAUUUUCAGAACAUGUUUAACAAAUGAUUCUAAUCCCCAGUAAAAUGACGCCUAUGUCUAUAAAGUAUCGCUAUUGAAUACACAAUAAUACAAUUAUGAUUAUAAUAUAAUUAUAAACAUUUAAAAUAUGAUCAUUGAACAAUAGGCAGAGUAGAUACCAUAUUCUUAUUGUACUUACUUUUUUAUAUAUUUUGAAUUUGUUAACAUUUAUUUUUUAGGUUUUUUUUAAAUAUCUUUUGACUUAUCAUUUAUUUACUUGUUCCUUUUUUCAAACUUAAUUCCUUAUGUUUAUGAAUGCAUCCUUAUAUAUAUUCCUCAUAUAUGUAAGCCUACUUGGUAAUAAACCUAAUUCUGAUCCUCAUUAAGUUACAUUAAUACUGUAUUAAUGUUUAUAUUACUGUUUACGGCCUAAUUUACAUCUAGUGAAUAGGUGAGGAAUAGCAGUCAUAUAAACACAAAGAGUGAGUCGUGGAAUCUCAAGAAAUCCCUGAAGGACACCGAGGAAGUGGAAGACACAUUCAGAAGAUUUAAGAUUGAACGGAUCAGGAACCAUGAUGGCAGAGAGUCCAACGUAACACCGAGUAAAAUAAUGCCGUAAGGAUUUACUGUGCUCGUUAUAUGAAUAUGAAUGAAUGUUGGGAAUCGACUUGUUUACCUGUUACUUCGGACCAUGCUGAUCCAGUUUGAUUUCAGCUGCAUCACUUUUAAUAUUGUACCUAUAUAAGGCCUUAAAAAUGGUCAGAACCUGUUAUUAUUCUAUCCAUGCACUUGCAAUUUGGAGGAAAUAAAUUAAGAUAAUCAAA
This is a long non-coding RNA of Eleginops maclovinus (Patagonian blennie), 2686 nucleotides long. RefSeq lists it as uncharacterized. The record is from RefSeq and is a predicted model, not a curated record. Lineage: Eukaryota; Metazoa; Chordata; Actinopteri; Perciformes; Eleginopidae. The transcript has 3 exons.